This 472-nucleotide ribosomal RNA is filed under the name uncultured bacterium. Its description in RNAcentral is "partial 16S ribosomal RNA". It matches the Rfam family "Bacterial small subunit ribosomal RNA", at positions 28 to 507 of the family's 1533-position model. The record is from RNAcentral.
GACGAACGCUGGCGGCGUGCUUAACACAUGCAAGUCGAACGCUGAAGCUUGGUGCUUGCACUGGGUGGAUGAGUGGCGAACGGGUGAGUAAUACGUGAGUAACCUGCCCUUGACUCUGGGAUAAGCCUGGGAAACUGGGUCUAAUACUGGAUACGACAUGCCACUGCAUGGUGGUGUGUGGAAAGGGUUUUACUGGUUUUGGAUGGGCUCACGGCCUAUCAGCUUAUUGGUGGGGUAAUGGCCUACCAAGGCGACGACGGGUAGCCGGCCUGAGAGGGUGACCGGCCACACUGGGACUGAGACACGGCCCAGACUCCUACGGGAGGCAGCAGUGGGGAAUAUUGCACAAUGGGCGGAAGCCUGAUGCAGCGACGCCGCGUGAGGGAUGACGGCCUUCGGGUUGUAAACCUCUUUCAGCACGGAAGAAGCGAGAGUGACGGUACGUGCAGAAGAAGCGCCGGCUAACUACGUG